RNAcentral lists this long non-coding RNA (414 nucleotides) under Astyanax mexicanus (Mexican tetra). Its description in RNAcentral is "lncRNA (ENSAMXG00005024706.1)". Lineage: Eukaryota; Metazoa; Chordata; Actinopteri; Characiformes; Acestrorhamphidae. The record is from RNAcentral.
GUCUGUUCAUCUCUGUUGUGGAGGAGAUAAAGCCCCCAAGAAGAUUAAGCAAACUGCAAAGACGCCGAGUAAAGCUGAUUGGAAAAUUGGACGCACAGUUCUGCUGGCCGGUCCUCCUGCACGUUCAGCUGCUGUGGCGACAUCUAAAUCUAUAUUUGGAUCGGGAUAUGAAUCUGGACAUGGACCAACUGAUAAAGAUCUACGGGAUUCUAAAAAGAGCUUUCUUUCUUCUCGACGGUUAAGCGCAGGAAAGCUGAGCAAGAAAAAGGGUCGAAAAAACUGAAAGAUGAACCCAUCUGAUCAUCAGCAGUGAUUGAACUAAAAAAGUAAUGUAAAGAUUAAAAUGAGAUUUUCUGUAAGUCUGUCAGUAAUGAUUCUAAUAAAAUUAUUUUAAAACAAUAUGUUAUUGAGUUA